Molecule: small RNA, 76 nt
Filed under: Flavobacterium sp. 245
Lineage: Bacteria; Pseudomonadati; Bacteroidota; Flavobacteriia; Flavobacteriales; Flavobacteriaceae
Description: Flavo-1 RNA
Rfam family: Flavo-1 RNA
Source: RNAcentral
CCCUAGCCCUGAUGGAAGCGGCAUCCUUUUGUGCCGGGGUUCGGCAUAAAAGAUACAGCGGACAGCAGGAAAUAGC